UAAUAAGUGUUUUAUGGCACUUUUUAAAUCCAUAUCCACCUUGUGUGCAAUGUCAGUCGAUCUUCUUCAUGGAGAUCGACCAAACAUCAACCCUUAUUUUUUAACUCUUUGUCUGAAAAAUAUUAUGAAUAAACAAUUCAAAAUA
Molecule: unclassified non-coding RNA, 145 nt
Filed under: soil metagenome
Description: partial internal transcribed spacer 1
Source: RNAcentral